Molecule: ribosomal RNA, 252 nt
Filed under: uncultured bacterium
Lineage: Bacteria
Description: partial 16S ribosomal RNA
Rfam family: Bacterial small subunit ribosomal RNA
Source: RNAcentral
UACGUAGGGUGCAAGCGUUAAUCGGAAUUACUGGGCGUAAAGCGUGCGCAGGCGGUUUUGUAAGUCUGAUGUGAAAUCCCCGGGCUCAACCUGGGAAUUGCAUUGAGACUGCAAGGCUAGAAUCUGGCAGAGGGGGGUAGAAUUCCACGUGUAGCAGUGAAAUGCGUAGAGAUGUGGAGGAACACCGAUGGCGAAGGCAGCCCCCUGGGUCAAGAUUGACGCUCAUGCACGAAAGCGUGGGGAGCAAACAGG